AUUGAACGCUGGCGGCAGGCCUAACACAUGCAAGUCGAACGGUAACAGGAAACAGCUUGCUGUUUCGCUGACGAGUGGCGGACGGGUGAGUAAUGUCUGGGAAACUGCCUGAUGGAGGGGGAUAACUACUGGAAACGGUAGCUAAUACCGCAUAACGUCGCAAGACCAAAGAGGGGGACCUUCGGGCCUCUCGCCAUCGGAUGUGCCCAGAUGGGAUUAGCUAGUAGGUGGGGUAACGGCUCACCUAGGCGACGAUCCCUAGCUGGUCUGAGAGGAUGACCAGCCACACUGGAACUGAGACACGGUCCAGACUCCUACGGGAGGCAGCAGUGGGGAAUAUUGCACAAUGGGCGCAAGCCUGAUGCAGCCAUGCCGCGUGUAUGAAGAAGGCCUUCGGGUUGUAAAGUACUUUCAGCGGGGAGGAAGGGAGUAAAGUUAAUACCUUUACUCAUUGACGUUACCCGCAGAAGAAGCACCGGCUAACUCCGUG
This 490-nucleotide ribosomal RNA is filed under the name uncultured bacterium. RNAcentral describes it as "partial 16S ribosomal RNA". It matches the Rfam family "Bacterial small subunit ribosomal RNA", at positions 30 to 507 of the family's 1533-position model. The record is from RNAcentral.